RNAcentral lists this ribosomal RNA (560 nucleotides) under Pseudomonadales bacterium HD-I-03-14. RNAcentral describes it as "bacterial SSU rRNA". It matches the Rfam family "Bacterial small subunit ribosomal RNA", at positions 104 to 662 of the family's 1533-position model. The record is from RNAcentral. Lineage: Bacteria; Pseudomonadati; Pseudomonadota; Gammaproteobacteria; Pseudomonadales.
GGGUGAGUAUACUUAGGAAUCUACCUAGUAGUGGGGGAUAGCACGGGGAAACUCGUAUUAAUACCGCAUACGACCUACGGGAGAAAGGGGGCAGUUUACUGCUCUCGCUAUUAGAUGAGCCUAAGUCGGAUUAGCUAGAUGGUGGGGUAAAGGCCUACCAUGGCGACGAUCUGUAGCUGGUCUGAGAGGAUGAUCAGCCACACCGGGACUGAGACACGGCCCGGACUCCUACGGGAGGCAGCAGUGGGGAAUAUUGGACAAUGGGGGAAACCCUGAUCCAGCCAUGCCGCGUGUGUGAAGAAGGCCUUUUGGUUGUAAAGCACUUUAAGCAGUGAAGAAGACUCCAUGGUUAAUACCCAUGGACGAUGACAUUAGCUGCAGAAUAAGCACCGGCUAACUCUGUGCCAGCAGCCGCGGUAAUACAGAGGGUGCAAGCGUUAAUCGGAAUUACUGGGCGUAAAGGGAGCGUAGGUGGCUCUAUAAGUCAGAUGUGAAAUCCCCGGGCUUAACCUGGGAAACUGCAUCUGAAACUGUAGAGCUAGAGUAUGUGAGAGGAAGGU